GACGAACGCUGGCGGCGUGCCUAAUACAUGCAAGUCGAACGAACGGAUUGAGGAGCUUGCUCUUCAUGAAGUUAGUGGCGGACGGGUGAGUAACACGUGGGUAACCUGCCCUUCAGUGGGGGAUAACAUCCGGAAACGGGUGCUAAUACCGCAUAGUUUCUUUUUCCGCCUGGAAGAAGAAGGAAAGAUGGCCUUUGCGCUAUCACUGAGGGAUGGACCCGCGGCGUAUUAGUUAGUUGGUGGGGUAAUGGCCUACCAAGACGAUGAUACAUAGCCGACCUGAGAGGGUGAUCGGCCACACUGGAACUGAGACACGGUCCAG
RNAcentral lists this ribosomal RNA (322 nucleotides) under uncultured bacterium. RNAcentral describes it as "bacterial SSU rRNA". It matches the Rfam family "Bacterial small subunit ribosomal RNA", at positions 28 to 334 of the family's 1533-position model. The record is from RNAcentral.